RNAcentral lists this small nuclear RNA (23 nucleotides) under Arabidopsis thaliana (thale cress). Its description in RNAcentral is "snRNA_12458". Lineage: Eukaryota; Viridiplantae; Streptophyta; Magnoliopsida; Brassicales; Brassicaceae. The record is from RNAcentral.
UCAGCUUUUUCCUUGGCUUUUUC